AUCAUUUGUUGCAAUACACUAAAGAAAAUGUUGCUAACAUAAUUACUUGGUGUAAUGUUUGCGUUUAGUCAUAAUAUUUCGUUCUGAUAUUCAUCAAGAGUGUUAAUGCAUAAUCUGCAAAGAGAAGAUUUUUAUGUCUUUAAUUGUGGUUGUGUUCUAGUAUGGAACACUUUAGUUUCUGACAAAGCUUCAGCCUUAAUAAUAGUUUGGUGGAGCUUGCUAUCUUUAUGGUGAUGUGAUCGUUUGCACAUCCUGCCAUCACAACAUGUUUCUAAAAGAAAAGGUACAGAAGCUUUGUUGUCUUUAUGGUG
This 311-nucleotide unclassified non-coding RNA is filed under the name Hevea brasiliensis (rubber tree). The record is from RNAcentral. Lineage: Eukaryota; Viridiplantae; Streptophyta; Magnoliopsida; Malpighiales; Euphorbiaceae.